AUGGCCCCACAGCUGAAUGUUCUGGGACUUGACUGGAAAGCAGCUGAAUUCUGGUUGCUUAUUCAAUAUUUUAAUUUUUAAAUCAGUGACAAGACAGUUUAAAAAAUGCAUUUCCAAGACUCCCCAAAAACAAGCUACAGUGUCAUACCACUUCCUCUGUUGCCUGGGUGGUUCCUGCAUUGCUAAAUUUGUCCAGACAUGUGAUUUUCAGAAAAGCCUGGGGAGAGGCAGUAUCCCAAACAGAGCACUGGCUGACAUCGAUGUGAAACAGGGAGCAAAAGGACUGUCACCUGCAGCUUGAGACCUCCAGGGAAAGGAUAGUUUCUGAAUUUUUUUGUAAACCAGCCUGGAGGAACAAGGAGUUCUCUACCCUCACGCCAGUGGAGGUACAGCCUUCCUUUCCACUGCUGCCAGCAGUCUCCAAGAGUACAGAAUAACAAAAAAGCACCCCUAAAGAGCCAAGGAAAUGUGACACUGUCUAAAUUCAGAUGGGGAGCUCUCGCACUGCCCAUGCAAUUGAGGUCCUGUUCCCCCUGGGGCCAGACCUGGCAGCGCCGGCAGGAAGAGGAGGCCAGGAUGCAGCACCUCGGCAGGUAUGAAGAACUUGAGGACAAAUUAUCUUCUGGUCCUUGUCCCCGUCUCAGUCCCAGCCCCAACCUGGCCUGGACUGCAGCUUGGUGAAAGUUACUACUGUUCCCUUCAAGCAAAGGAGAAAUGAAUUAUAUCCUUGAGAAAACACCAUCUACCAACAGCUGUGGCUCAGAAGUGCUCUGCCUAUAAAUAAGGAUUCCAUAUUAAAAUAUAGUUAAAAUUGUUUUUAAAACAAACUCCCAGUGCUUAUAAACUCUUCAUAGGCCUGUUGUUACUUAGUUUGUUAUCCCGUCUAGUAAGAACAAUUACACAUCUUCUAAUUGCUUCACUUUUUCUAGUUUCUUAUACAAAAUAAAGAUGUAAAAGAGACUGAAUGACUGCUUGAAUAACCUGGAUUUUCAGAACCACUCCAGUAUUCCUCCAAAAUUCCCAGGUUAGUCCUGGGACUAAUGGAGUACCUUAUUUUUCACAUGCUAACAGAUGAUGUAUUACGUGAGUCAUACGUUAGUUUUAAAUGUCAAAAUUUUUAAAGAACUGAACAAGUGAUCACUUCUGUAAUUCAAAAAUAAAAUACAGAAGACAAUUGUUUAAAUUAUCUUUGUUUAGAGUCACUGCAAGCAGAGAAAAGCUGGCAUUUUUUAUCAGGUUGUUUGGAUUGUGGAUAUAACAGAUGAGGAAAUCCACAUGUCAAUACUUUUGCUGGACUGUUAUAGUUUAUGAUGUCUCCAAUGGAAGCCUCGGUCCCAUCUGCCUCAUGUUUAUUUUCCACCACGGUGAGGACUUGCUGGACAAGAAGCUGGCAACCCUCACACUUCAAGCACUGCAGUUCACAGGCAUGUCCUGGGAAAGCAGAGGUCUUGAGGAGAUACUGGGCCCUUGGAGCUGUAUCUGCAUGAGGGCUCCCACUGCUGCUACCAUAGUGCAUUAACAGGAGCCACGAGACAAGACCUGAUGGUGAGACCUCUGAAGACACCAAUAAAAUGAAGAGCACUGACACUAGCUAAAUUUGGAGAUAUUUGGGAGACCUUAAUUCCACCCUCUGCUCCAAUCCUACUGUUGACAUAUAACUCCUUACCUUACAGGCCGAAGGCUUGACUCGGCAGAAGCUCUUCUAAAACAGUGCAGAGGUCAAUAUUCCUGGCUCUCAGCACGGCAGGAUAACCUAACAUCCUUAAUUACUGUGGGAUGCUUCCGUUUGCCCAUUAACUACUGAUCUGUGUAUAGACCUAACUUGUAUUGAGUAACAUUUGUUCUAAACAUGGAUCCAAAUGCACUUGCCUGUUAAGAAAAUAGAACAAGUUUAAGCUAACUUUGCUUAUCUGUAUCUUAAGUGGUUGCAUCCGAAUGAAAGUUUGUAAUUAUCUUCUAAGGGCUUGUUUAGAUCUGAUGGCUGAUGAAAAUGGGAGUGUGACAGGCAUUCCAAAGGCACAGGCUAGUCCCAAGUCCCAGAGUGCAGAACUUCUUACUCCAGAGUAUUCUUCUUGUUUAAGUUGGGCUGGAACAGUUUACGCUUAUUGCAAGAUAUAAAGGUAGCACACACACACACAGAGCCCUGCACACUGAAGUGCAGCUAUUUCAGAGUAAUUCCUGCGCAGGGCUGUGUGUGGAAGAGCCCUGGUGGAUGAGCUCAGGGCUGUGGCUGCCUGCAGCUGCCAUGGGGAGGGAGGGCUGGAUGUCAGCACAAGCAGACACUGUGCCUGCACACACCCUGCAACAGGAGCUGCUAGAGCAGGUACAAAGGGGAGAUACCUAGAGCCAUCUUAGCACCCCAUUCUUCCUCUCCCACUAAGAACCUGUCCCUGCAUACAGCUACUAGCUUUCCAAAUGCUUCAGCAUUAGCUAUUCCCCAUAUCUUGCUGCCACAGCAGCUUUUAUUGAUAAUUGGAUUAGGAGAGAAAAGCUCCAGUCAUUCCAGUGCCAUAGGCACUGGCCCAGGCACAUUGUUUGCCAAAAUAUUUUCAAUCAGAAUAGAUAACAUUUUAAAGGCAGAUUGGUCAGCCUGUACAGACAGGGAUGUGUUUAAAGGUUUGAUUUUUUUUCCAAAUACAUUGUAGCUCCUUAACUAAGUGCUACAAUUACCCUGCUUAGGAAGAGGGAACCAAACAUCCUGCCAAUUUAACUUAGGCACGAACACACACAAACACUUGAUCCUGACUUCUGAACAUUCAUCAUUUAGCUCAAAAGCUUUUUUCAAAAAUAAUCUGUGGAAGAAAUGAAUUGUUUGUGUAUUGCCAGCACUAAGCAGAUAGAUAAGUAUGUAAGCUGGAAUGUUAUUUCAAAGUUAUUUUAAAUAUUUGGGUUGUCUACUUGAGCUAUGUUUAAAUAAAGUUACUAUGAAUUUCUUAAUUUCACUGAAGCCAUUAUAAAGCCACACUUUCUGUCACUAGAUACAUCAGCUUUUAAAGGUUAGGGAAAAACCAUGGCAGGCUAAUUAGAAUACCAGGGGGCUGGGGUUUCUGUAACUACAUUUCUAACUUUUUUGGGUACUGUCCCUAGACUCCCCAGCCUUUUUUUGCAAGGUGUGUGGCUAAACACCUGGAAUUUAGGCUUAAGAGCUUCAGAGCAAAGUAACACUUAAAUAGGUGCCCUCAUCAACCAUUCUGCCUGAUCUGCUGUUUCAGGGACUGUUAGAAGACCUCAUCUCUGUGAUCGUUUUAUUUCCUGUGAUAGUUCCUCUGUGAUAGUUUUAUUAGUUUGUGGGCUAUGAACUUGGCUGCAAUGGAAAGCUG
Motacilla alba alba is the source of this 3320-nucleotide long non-coding RNA. RefSeq lists it as uncharacterized. Lineage: Eukaryota; Metazoa; Chordata; Aves; Passeriformes; Motacillidae. The record is from RefSeq and is a predicted model, not a curated record. The transcript is spliced from 4 exons.